This 400-nucleotide ribosomal RNA is filed under the name uncultured bacterium. Its description in RNAcentral is "bacterial SSU rRNA". It matches the Rfam family "Bacterial small subunit ribosomal RNA", at positions 355 to 772 of the family's 1533-position model. The record is from RNAcentral.
UGGGGAAUUUUGCGCAAUGGGGGAAACCCUGACGCAGCAACGCCGCGUGGAGGAUGAAGUCUCUUGGGACGUAAACUCCUUUCGAUCGGGACGAUAAUGACGGUACCGAUAGAAGAAGCCCCGGCUAACUUCGUGCCAGCAGCCGCGGUAAUACGAGGGGGGCAAGCGUUGUUCGGAAUUAUUGGGCGUAAAGGGCGCGUAGGCGGUUUGGCAAGUUUCGUGUGAAAACUUCGGGCUCAACUCGAAGCCUGCACGGAAAACUGCCGGGCUUGAGUAUGGGAGAGGUGAGUGGAAUUUCCGGUGUAGCGGUGAAAUGCGUAGAUAUCGGAAGGAACACCUGUGGCGAAAGCGGCUCACUGGACCAUAACUGACGCUGAGGCGCGAAAGCUAGGGGAGCAAA